RNAcentral lists this ribosomal RNA (328 nucleotides) under uncultured bacterium. RNAcentral's name for it is "bacterial SSU rRNA". It matches the Rfam family "Bacterial small subunit ribosomal RNA", at positions 46 to 392 of the family's 1533-position model. The record is from RNAcentral.
UCAGGCCUAACACAUGCAAGUCGUACGAGAGUUUUUAACUCUAGUGGCGGACGGGUGAGUAACACGUGAGAAUUUGCCUUUAGGAGGGGGACAACAAUUGGAAACGAAUGCUAAUACCCCAUAUGCUUUCGAGUGAAAUGGAUUUUAUCCGCCUAGAGAGAAGCUCGCGGCUGAUUAGCUUGUUGGUAAGGUAAGAGCUUACCAAGGUGACGAUCAGUAUCUGGUUUGAGAGGACGAUCAGACACACUGGAACUGAGACACGGUCCAGACUCCUACGGGAGGCAGCAGUGGGGAAUUUUCCUCAAGAGGCGAAAGCCUGACGGAGCAA